Molecule: ribosomal RNA, 360 nt
Filed under: uncultured bacterium
Lineage: Bacteria
Description: bacterial SSU rRNA
Rfam family: Bacterial small subunit ribosomal RNA
Source: RNAcentral
GCACGGGGGGAACGCGAAGAACCUUACCUGGCCUUGACAUACUAGAAACUUUCCAGAGAUGGAUUGGUGCCUUCGGGAAUCUAGAUACAGGUGCUGCAUGGCUGUCGUCAGCUCGUGUCGUGAGAUGUUGGGUUAAGUCCCGCAACGAGCGCAACCCUUUUCCUUACUUGCCAGCAUUUCGGAUGGGAACUUUAAGGAUACUGCCAGUGACAAACUGGAGGAAGGCGGGGACGACGUCAAGUCAUCAUGGCCCUUACGGCCAGGGCUACACACGUGCUACAAUGGUCGGUACAAAGGGUUGCUACACAGCGAUGUGAUGCUAAUCUCAAAAAGCCGAUCGUAGUCCGGAUUGGAGUCUGC